Molecule: long non-coding RNA, 1384 nt
Organism: Eriocheir sinensis (Chinese mitten crab)
Lineage: Eukaryota; Metazoa; Arthropoda; Malacostraca; Decapoda; Varunidae
Exons: 3
Source: RefSeq, a predicted model, not a curated record
AGGUGAGGCUCGUUAGCCGUGGUAGGCAAUUCACCUAGGAGAGCAAACUCUAUACAAACCCGGGCAGGUGAGGCUCGUUAGCCGUGGUAGGCAAUUCACCUAGGAGAGCAAACUCUAUACAAACCCGGGCAGGUGGAGCUCGUCAGCCGUGGUAGGCAAUUCACCUAGGAGAGCAAACUCCGAACAACAAACCCGGGCAGGUGGAGCUCGUCAGCCGUGGUAGGCAAUCUGCCUAGGAGAGCAAACUCCGAACAACAAACCCGGGCAGGUGGAGGUCGUCAGCCGUGGUAGGCAAUCUGCCUAGGAGAGCAAACUCCGAACAACAAACCCGGGCAGGUGGAGGUCGUCAGCCGUGGUAGGCAGUCUGCCUAGGAGAGCAAACUCCGAACAAUAAACCCGGGCAGGUGGAGGUCGUCAGCCGUGGUAGGCAAUCUGCCUAGGAGAGCAAACUCCGAACAACAAACCCGGGCAGGUGGAGGUCGUCAGCCGUGGUAGGCAGUCUGCCUAGGAGAGCAAACUCCGAACAAUAAACCCGGGCAGGUGGAGCUCGUCAGCCGUGGUAGGCAGUCUGCCUAGGAGAGCAAACUCCGAACAAUAAACCCGGGCAGGUGGAGGUCGUCAGCCGUGGUAGGCAAUCUGCCUAGGAGAGCAAACUCUAAAUAAACCCGGGCUUGUGGUGCUCGUUAUACUGUCGUAGACAAUCCACGCGAUGGGAACACCAAAGAAAAGGAAAAUAAAAAAGAACACCAGAAAAAUGGAAAAUACAGAAACGAAACAUCAAGAAAAUAAACAAAAAGAUCAUCCACCUUUAGGCCCUAGCAUCGCCAAAAUUAUGGGUGGGUCUCUUCUGGGGAGAAAGCGGCUCACCCAGACCAAAGAACAUCAACAAGGGAUGAUAUAGAAAAGAACACCCAAAAAAUAUGGAAAAAGAACAGAAAAAACAUCGAAAAAGAAAAGCAACAGAAAUAAAUGAGCAACAUCGAGAAAAGAGAAAUACAAAGAAACAUCAUCCACCUUUCGGCCCCAAACAACAUCACCAAAAUUAUGGAUGGGUCUCUUCUGGGAGGAAAGCGGCUCAUCCAGACCAAGGAACAUCAACAAAAGGAUGAUAGGAAAAAAAUAACAACAAAAAGCAUCAAAAAUAAGUAAAAAGAAAAAGAACAGGAAAACAUCGAAAAAGAAAACAAAUGCAAUAAAAAGAACGAAAAACACGACAUCAAGAAAAUAAAAUAAAACAAACACCAUCCACCUUUCUGCCCUAACACAUCUCCAAAAUUAUGGGUGGGUCUCUUCUGGGAGGAAAGCGGCUCACCCAGACCAACGAACAUCAACAAAAGGAUGAUAGGAAAAAAGAACACCAUAAAAGAACAUCAAAAAAAGAAAA